GACGAACGCUGGCGGCGCGCUUAACACAUGCAAGUCGAACGGAAAGGCCUGCUUUCCCUUGUGGAUUGCGGGUACUCGAGUGGCGAACGGGUGAGUAACACGUGAGUGAUCUGCCCCCAACUUGGGUAUAAGCCUGGGAAACUGGGUCUAAUUCCCGAUAGGACUGCAGGGUGGUGCCUGUGGUGGAAAACGAUUUUCUAGUGGUUGGGGAUGAGCUCGCGGCCUAUCAGCUUGUUGGUGGGGUAAUGGCCUACCAAGGCGGCGACGGGUAGCCGGCCUGAGAGGGUGGACGGUCAUAUUGGGACUGAGAUACGGCCCAGACUCCUACGGGAGGCAGCAGUGGGGAAUAUGGCACAAUGGGCGGAAGCCUGAUGCAGCGACGCCGCGUGGGGGAUGACGGCCUUCGGGUUGUAAACUCCUUUCGACCGCGAGGAAGCCACCUGGUUGGAAGGGUGGUGACGGUAGUGGUAGAAGAAGCACCGGCUAACUACGUG
This 494-nucleotide ribosomal RNA is filed under the name uncultured bacterium. RNAcentral describes it as "partial 16S ribosomal RNA". It matches the Rfam family "Bacterial small subunit ribosomal RNA", at positions 28 to 507 of the family's 1533-position model. The record is from RNAcentral.